This 71-nucleotide ribosomal RNA is filed under the name Escherichia coli. Its description in RNAcentral is "partial 23S ribosomal RNA". The record is from RNAcentral. Lineage: Bacteria; Pseudomonadati; Pseudomonadota; Gammaproteobacteria; Enterobacterales; Enterobacteriaceae. RNAcentral also lists the same sequence under 1 other name.
UGUAAGCGCAGCGAUGCGUUGAGCUAACCGGUACUAAUGAACCGUGAGGCUUAACCUUACAACGCCGAAGC